CUUUCGAUUCUUUUCCAAUUUUUUUGUGCGCUUUUUAAGUCCUAGUUUCUCUUAUAGAAACAUUGAUAUGUCCAAUUGAUCUUUUCUCUCUGUUUUUUUAAUUGCUAUUGAUCUGAUCUGUCGUUACAUACGGCGAAAAUAAAAAUAUGAUCUGGCGACCUGAUCUUUUAUGUAAUUCGUCUCCGAUUGAUCUUUCGUCCGAUUGAAAAUCUGAUCUGUCGACCUGAUCUU
RNAcentral lists this long non-coding RNA (231 nucleotides) under Oryza brachyantha (malo sina). RNAcentral describes it as "long non-coding RNA (OBRA_LNC000704)". The record is from RNAcentral. Lineage: Eukaryota; Viridiplantae; Streptophyta; Magnoliopsida; Poales; Poaceae.